Leptopilina boulardi is the source of this 659-nucleotide long non-coding RNA. RefSeq lists it as uncharacterized. The transcript has 3 exons. NCBI's taxonomy places the organism in Eukaryota, Metazoa, Arthropoda, Insecta, Hymenoptera, Figitidae. The record is from RefSeq and is a predicted model, not a curated record.
AGUAACGUACAUGGCGUCGUGUGUAUUUUCCUCCUACAAAAGCCGGGUUUUUUUUCGAAAAUUAGUGAAUGAUUUAGUCUGAAUUAGUGAUUUAUCGAUUCCCUUGUAUUAAUAUAACCAAAAAGUGAUCAAAGUGCAUUGGUGAAAUUAAUAGUUUUUUUCUCAAUUGAAAAAUGUUGCAUGUGCAGUGACAAUAGUGAACAUUAUUUGCCAUUUCCGUGUUAAUCAUGUUUAACUUUUUAUUAUAUUAAAACGCGAUUUUCUUCAAUAUUAUCAUGUUUCGUAUUAAAUACUAGUAAAAAAUCAGUGAUAGUUAACAAUCUGCUCUCGAAAUUUCAUGAAAUAAAAGUGUUCAAUGAAUUCUAAAAAAAAGUGGUCUAUCCCCAAGAUUUCGUGUCAAUGAUGAUUUUGGAGCUGGAGAUUAAUCAAAAGGCUGAAUAAGAAGAAGAAGAAGAAGAAGAAGAAUAAGAAACAAGUUGUAAGUACCAAAAUAGAGGAUCAUUUCAUCUUAAAAUGUAAGUCUUUCGUUUAUUAAUUUUAAUUUAUUGAGCAAUCGAUCCACAUCGAACAGCGACAAUUAAAAUUAAGAAAGAAAAUAAAUAAUCCAAGAGAAGAGAACAUAGAAAAUAUCUAUAAUUAAUUUUUGAAUAAAGACUAUU